Non-coding RNA from Pelobates cultripes (western spadefoot toad), 207 nucleotides. Lineage: Eukaryota; Metazoa; Chordata; Amphibia; Anura; Pelobatidae. The record is from the annotation of a GenBank genome assembly.
GUAACGUGUGGUUGCAGAGGGUGCGUGUUCGUUAAAGUGUUCCAGAGUAGGGGGGGUAUAUUUACACUGUUAAGGUGUGCCUGCUUGAUGAUGUCUUGUGUCUCGUCCCUGCUGCUGUUGGAGUCGUUCACCUUUUUGCUUGGGUCCUUUAGCCUAUCCUUAAGAGUAUGGGUCGGUGUAUAAGGACGUUGUGAGCUAGUAUGCCUG